RNAcentral lists this ribosomal RNA (253 nucleotides) under uncultured prokaryote. RNAcentral's name for it is "partial 16S ribosomal RNA". It matches the Rfam family "Bacterial small subunit ribosomal RNA", at positions 525 to 777 of the family's 1533-position model. The record is from RNAcentral.
ACGGAGGGGGCUAGCGUUGUUCGGAUUUACUGGGCGUAGAGGGCACAUAGGCGGCCAGGCAAAUCAGUUGUGGAAUCCCGACGCCUACCGUCGGAACGGCAAUUGAAAAUACCUGGCUCGAGGGCAUGAGGGGUCGCGGGAACUCUUGGUGGAGCGGUGAAAUGCGUAGAUAUCAAGAGGAACGCCGGAGGCGAAAGCGCGCGACUGGCAUGUCCCUGACGCUGAGGUGCGAAAGCCGGGGGAGCAAACAGGA